Molecule: ribosomal RNA, 1470 nt
Filed under: metagenome
Description: bacterial SSU rRNA
Rfam family: Bacterial small subunit ribosomal RNA
Source: RNAcentral
AGAGUUUGAUCAUGGCUCAGGACGAACGCUGGCGGCACGCUUAACACAUGCAAGUCGAACGAGAGAAGAGGAGCUUGCUUUUCUGAUCUAGUGGCGGACGGGUGAGUAACACGUGAGCAAUCUGCCUUUCAGAGGGGGAUACCGAUUGGAAACGAUCGUUAAUACCGCAUAACAUAAUUGAACCGCAUGAUUUGAUUAUCAAAGAUUUAUCGCUGAAAGAUGAGCUCGCGUCUGAUUAGCUAGUUGGUAAGGUAACGGCUUACCAAGGCGACGAUCAGUAGCCGGACUGAGAGGUUGAUCGGCCACAUUGGGACUGAGACACGGCCCAGACUCCUACGGUAGGCAGCAGUGGGGAAUAUUGCACAAUGGAGGAAACUCUGAUGCAGCGAUGCCGCGUGAGGGAAGAAGGUUUUAGGAUUGUAAACCUCUGUCUUCAGGGACGAAAAAAGACGGUACCUGAGGAGGAAGCUCCGGCUAACUACGUGCCAGCAGCCGCGGUAAUACGUAGAGAGCGAGCGUUGUCCGGAAUUACUGGGUGUAAAGGGAGCGUAGGCGGGAUCGCAAGUCAGAUGUGAAAACUAUGGGCUUAACCCAUAAACUGCAUUUGAAACUGUGGUUCUUGAGUGAAGUAGAGGUAAGCGGAAUUCCUAGUGUAGCGGUGAAAUGCGUAGAUGUUAGGAGGAACAUCAGUGGCGAAGGCGGCUUACUGGGCUUUAACUGACGCUGAGGCUCGAAGGCGUGGGGAGCAAACAGGAUUAGAUACCCUGGUAGUCCACGCCGUAAACGAUGAUUACUAGGUGUGGGGGGACUGACCCCUUCCGUGCCGCAGCAAACGCAAUAAGUAAUCCACCUGGGGAGUACGACCGCAAGGUUGAAACUCAAAGGAAUUGACGGGGGCCCGCACAAGCAGUGGAGUAUGUGGAUUAAUUCGAAGCAACGCGAAGAACCUUACCAGGUCUUGACAUCGUAUGCAUAGCUCAGAGAUGAGUGAAAUCUCUUCGGAGACAUAUAGACAGGUGGUGCAUGGUUGUCGUCAGCUCGUGUCGUGAGAUGUUGGGUUAAGUCCCGCAACGAGCGCAACCCUUACUGUUAGUUGCUACGCAAGAGCACUCUAGCAGGACUGCCGUUGACAAAACGGAGGAAGGUGGGGAUGACGUCAAAUCAUCAUGCCCCUUAUGACCUGGGCCUCACACGUACUACAAUGGCUGUCAACAGAGGGAAGCAAAGCCGCGAGGUGGAGCGAACCCCUAAAAGCAGUCUUAGUUCGGAUUGUAGGCUGCAACCCGCCUACAUGAAGUCGGAAUUGCUAGUAAUCGCAGAUCAGCAUGCUGCGGUGAAUACGUUCCCGGGCCUUGUACACACCGCCCGUCACGCCAUGGGAGUCGGUAACACCCGAAGCCUGUAGUCUAACCGCAAGGAGGACGCAGUCGAAGGUGGGAUUGAUGACUGGGGUGAAGUCGUAACAAGGUA